Molecule: non-coding RNA, 98 nt
Organism: Erinaceus europaeus (western European hedgehog)
Lineage: Eukaryota; Metazoa; Chordata; Mammalia; Eulipotyphla; Erinaceidae
Source: Rfam
AGAUCGAUGAUGACUUCCCAUUCACACCAGCAUUCCUUGGAAAAGCUGAACAAAAUGAGUGAGAACUCCCUCUGUUUAAAAAAAAAAAAAAAAAGUGA